Long non-coding RNA from Vidua macroura (Pin-tailed whydah), 626 nucleotides. RefSeq lists it as uncharacterized. The transcript is spliced from 2 exons. NCBI's taxonomy places the organism in Eukaryota, Metazoa, Chordata, Aves, Passeriformes, Viduidae. The record is from RefSeq and is a predicted model, not a curated record.
UGGGGCCGGGCGCGGGCGGCGGCCGCGGCAGCGGCUCCGGGCAGGGGCGUCCGGCCGGGUCCCCGCGGGGUCCCGCAGCAUCCCCGGCGCCCUUUCAUCCCGCAGCAUCUCUGACAUCCCACCGCAUCCCCAGGCUCCCACAGAACCCCGGGGUCCCACUCAUCUGGCAGCAGCUUUGGGAUUGCACAUCUUUCCUGGGAUUCUGCUCGUCACACGGCAUCCAUGUAGCCCACAGCAUCCUGGGGAUCCUACAGCAUGUCACGGUAUUCCUGGGUUGCCAGAACAUCCCUGGGAUCCCAGAGCAUCGUACGGCAGUUCUUACCUCCAAGUGUCUUCACACAGCUGUGACUGCUGCACAAAAGCAUCCUGUCAGUAGUGAGGGCUCCGGUCACACUGAGGUCUCUGUAAUUCCUCAGGCUGACAGUUGCUGUAGCCAUGGCUUCAUCAGAAGAGUUGUUUAGUCACCCUUUUCUUCACUGGAGCUACUGGACUUGUUAUAGCACUGUUGUCCUGUGACAGUUCCUCUUCUUCCACCUUCUCACCUUCCUGAAUUAUCAUUUUUAGAAAAUGUUUCCCAGCAUGAAAUAUCACUUAAUGAAGAUCCAUUAAAACUAUUCCUGCACACA